Molecule: small nucleolar RNA, 107 nt
Filed under: Canis lupus familiaris (dog)
Lineage: Eukaryota; Metazoa; Chordata; Mammalia; Carnivora; Canidae
Description: Small nucleolar RNA ACA64 (ENSCAFG00000027850.3, ENSCAFG00805025426.1, ENSCAFG00845014875.1)
Rfam family: Small nucleolar RNA ACA64
Source: Rfam by way of RNAcentral
GUUGGUUGAAAAUCCCCUGCGGCCCUGCCCGUGGCGCCCAGAGCCCCCGGGGCCUCAGCUCACCGCGCCCUGGUCCGUGUGGGGAGGUGACACCCGGGCCGACAGCU